GUCAAUUUCUGCAAAGACACAUUUAAGCAACAAAAUAUACAUUUGUCAACCUUUUAGAAUUUGUUUUGUACAUUAACAAAUACAAUGUGCUACCAUAGCAAUAAAUUAAAUGUACAUUAUUUACAUUACAUAGGCAGUUGGGAUCUACGAAUCACCUCCUCACUAAGAGGAAAGAAAGCAAAGUCGUCGUCACAUGGAGCAUCACUUCCAAGCCACAGUUCUUAGGUUCGACCACACAGGGGAAUCUGCACAUUCACACGCCAGCAGUCCCCGAGCUGGAGUGUCCAAGGGGAACACCCAAAACAGGAGAGAGCUGCACGCAUGCUAAGGAGCAGGAAGCGGGGGGGGGGGGGUAGUUCACACUUCCAAGCAGAAAUGUCACAAAAUCAAAGACGAUGGCAAUUAAAUUCCAGUCUUCCAGCCAAAUGCCCCCCUCCCCAGGGCUGGUAAGGCACAGGACAGAGCCGCUGCCCCACAGCCUCUCACUCGGCAGGGCUCUGCUGCCCUUGGCCCUAGUGGGGCUUGUCUUCUUCCUCCCAAAGGGGCACACGGUCCAGCUGAAGGGAGGGAGACAUGGGAUUGGGGUGUACAAGGGGCUGGCGGUAAAACAGAGUUUGGUAAAAGAAUACCCCAGCCAGCCCCACCAGGCUGCAGGAUCAGGCUUGGCAAACUUUACUGGCCUCCCCUUGCCUCGAUACAGGGUAGCUAGAGGCUGGGGGAGGAGCCGAGGGGUCCUGAGCAUGGCUGACUGGCCUGGUCCCUGCUGGCCUCCUGUACCCAUGAGAUCUACUCGAACCCCCAACUGCUUAAAACAGAUCUGUCUCUACUGACUUAGAAACCAAUGAGAAAGGUAGUGUUUGAGUUGGCACCUGGCAGGGUCAGGGAGGAAAGCGAAACAGGCUCUUGUCCUGCCUUGUCACGGGAGCCUGAGUUUCUAUUAACCACCUUCGUUUAAGAAUCAGGGAGAAAUGAAGAGUUUUUCUUUGACCACUUUUCCUCUUAAUUUAGGAAAAGGGAAGCUGAGGGUGGGUGAACAGCAUCUUUUUCCCUGGCCUCUGCCCCCAUUACACAGCCCCCAUCAGGAGCUGAAGAACCGAUCCCACUGAGGAAUAGUUCACUGAAUCCCUUUCCCUCCUCGUUUUCUUGGUUCAAGCUGCAUCCAAAGCCCAAGGGUCCUCACUGAAAAAUCCUAGAGACUAUCCCCCCUGAUGAAAAAGAGCAGAAACUGCAGCCUCACCAGCAUCCUUGACUGCUCACCUCCAUGCCAGUGCCAAAGCAGCAGCUAACUGGCUUCCCCAAAACCCAGGGCCCCAGGAAACGCAGCCACUUAUUCAACCAACCAUGUAGGCGCUGCAGAGGAAGGGACCCUGGGUUGAGGGUUCUAAUCCCAGCUUUGCCAACAGCCAGCUGUGUGACCUCAAGCAAGUUACUCCCCUCACCUGGGCUAAGAUUUCUCAUCUGGACGAUGACAUGGUUGGAUGAGAUGCUAAAAAGAGCCAGCAGGCUUGUGUUGAGAUGAUGCUGACAAAGCUGAACCACUGAAUCUUUUUCAAGAAACGUCAUUUUACAUGAUUGGCAUAGACAGACACUCUCAUUAAGACCUUCCAUCGCGAGCUUUUCUGCACCUGUUUUUAAGCGUCAACUGAGCUGGAGGCAUAUGGGUGACCCUACAGUGCCUGAAAAGUAGUUUCUUCAGUGAGUCAGGCAGUUCCCAGAGCCAGAGAUGUGUCCCGGAAAACAUCCCCUCGUGGAGAUCACAGUGGAAAUGCCUCAAACACCAGCGUGAGCACCAUCUAGAUGAGCCUAGUCACGAGGGCCAAUGAGGUUUGGGCAAAUCUUUGAGCCCCAAGACUGGGCGCAGCAUAAAAGGAAAGACAUUUUAGAUCAGAGCAGAUGUAGGGACAGCGUGGGGGAAACAGCCCUCCAGGAACCCGAGCUGCCCGCCCCGUGGUCUAGGGGAGGGAGGGGAGGCUGGGCCAUCCUUGUUCUCCUCCUCCCUCUCAGCACUGCCCGGGUGGGCUGGAAGUGCACACUCUGGAAGCCACAGGAUGGAGCUCCUAGAGAUAGUGAGGCAUGACCAGAGGGAAGAGGCAUUUGGGGUCCUGUUCAGAUCAUUCCAACAGCAAACCGGGCAUGGAGACCCCAUCUCAGGUCUGUGCUUCUCUGGGGGCCACCCAGCCAUCCUGCCCACCAGCUCAGAGGCAGGGACAAAGCCCUCCCAAGAGGCAGCAGGCAGCAAGGGUCAGCCAGCGCAGUGGGGACAGGCAGGUAUGGGAUUCCCAAAUGGGACAGCAUGGUGACAACCUGGAAACCCCAAAGGACCCCAGAUGGCAAUGUGACACGGCCCAUCCACCAAGCACCUGUAAUGCCGGCUUCCCACAGAGGCGAGCCAGAUCCUGCAACUGUUCUUAAAGAAAUGCAGUUUGACCUUGCCAGUGCCUCCAGAAGCCCAGCCAACAAAACGCGUCCAGAACGUACAGGCCUCUUUCCAGCCGUGGGGGCUGCUACGGUGACUCUUCAUAAAAGCUAAACAGAUAUUUUGUUGACCUUCUAACAAGAAUAAAUUUUACUAGACUAGUACUUUAGAGAAAGUACUAGCAAAGGGAGAGCUCCUCUCCAGCUUGCAAACAGGACUCAAUCAUUCCCACACACGUGGCGGGGAAGAAAGAUCACAAUGUUGCUUGAAUGGCAAAAGCUAUAGGGAGAAUUUCACAAUGUCAGUUAAAAAAAAAAAAAAAAAGUGUAGUAUUUAUAUCUUGGGCACAGGUCCAGAUCCCUAUGGGAAUAAAGCAUUCAGCUGGAAAUCCUUGUCAUUGGUCGUGGGGCAGGUGCCCAGCCAGUGUCACUCUGCAGCCCCGUCUGCACUGAAAGGGGCUCUUCAGGCUCGUUGUACCUGGAGGAUGCCCACCUUAACCCCAACCCGGGCCCAUCGGCAGAGAAGCCCACGGCGCUGCAGACUCGGAAGGGGGAGAAGCCAGGAGGGGAUGUCCUUGGAGGUGAGCUGGCUGUCCCAGCAAGGGGGCUCUGUGGAGGGUGGGGGUGGCAUGUGGGUCACAGGGUCUGACCCACACCCAGAUGGGGUCCAGGUUGCAGAAACCCUUCAGAUGUGACAGCUGCCUACAGACCCGCAGCUGGAGAGGGGAACAGGAUUGGGGGGUUGAGCCCCAGACGCAGCUGCCCAAGGGCACAGUAGCUGGAAAAGGCCCCAGGGCCCGAGGUUUUCCUCAACCAACACAGCAGCAUCUCAGCACUGGCUCCUUUGCUCUCCCUGAAUUCCUUCUCACUCCUGGCUUCCCACCCCUUUGUGGGAAAAUAUCUUCUCAAAGGGAAGAGACUGCCUCGGGGCUGCCCCUCCCUCCCCUCACCCCACAGCAGCCAUAAUCAGGAGAAACCGGGUGGGACCCAAAGUCCCCGCCUCAGUCCAGGAAGUGUGCAGCGCAGUUCUGGCCCGUCCAGCUCUGGCUCUGAGCUUGAACUGGCUGGAGCCCCGCUCACGGUACACUGGCAGCAGGGGCAGGGCAGCCCUGGGCCUACGUCAGCAGAUGGGAAAGGCGUUCAGCACAGAAGCAGAUAGACGGUUUAGAGCUCCAGAGCUACGGGGGCAAUAGCGCCGAAUUUUAUCAGGAUGGCCUCAAGGAUGCUACGAAUCUUGGCUCCUGGGAACAUGGGGCCUCCACCACCGAGUGCGUUCCUGGUAGUAAAGCCUGCCACGUUCAGGAAGGCACUGCCCUGUGGCCAAGACCCUCACCGAGGCUCUGCUCCCACCCCCUACUCUGUCUCUGAGGCAGACCAGCUCCCCAGUCACUGCUGAGCUCCCCCCAGAUCCCCCUUUGCCCGACACUUUUCCUCUCCAGGAUGAAUAGGAUGAUAAAGGACCCGGACAUCACACUGGGAGGUCAGGAGCAGGAGGAACCUGAGGAAGGAGGCCUCGUCCAGAGAUGGGAGGGGCUGGGAGGGCAUGUAGGUGAGGGCGGAGGCAGGGCUGUGGCCAGACUGGGACACCUGGACCAACAGCACAUCUGUGGGCACGUGGCCAUGGGGCAGCAGGGCUGGGACUGUCAGGGUCGUGGACGGCACUCCCAAACUGCUGGUACAGGAGCCUUUUCCAGGACAGAAGAGGGGAUUCCCUGAGGAGACAAGGAGGA
This 4145-nucleotide long non-coding RNA is filed under the name Homo sapiens (human). RNAcentral describes it as "non-protein coding lnc-OR1D5-2:1". The record is from RNAcentral. Lineage: Eukaryota; Metazoa; Chordata; Mammalia; Primates; Hominidae.